This is a non-coding RNA of Misgurnus anguillicaudatus (oriental weatherfish), 362 nucleotides long. Lineage: Eukaryota; Metazoa; Chordata; Actinopteri; Cypriniformes; Cobitidae. The record is from RefSeq and is a predicted model, not a curated record.
GCUGUGGCAUGGUGUACUACAUCAUGUACGCAAUGAACACACAUGGGCCACAGGGUUCUGUGAGCAUGAGCCAUUGGAUGACAGCAGUCGAGAAAAGCCAUGGAUACAGCAAGGUUCUGCUGCUCACCAGACCCUAACUGCCAUUGUUUUGAACAAACGCUGGCUGAAAGAUGUCAAAAAGUACAUUACAUUCAGGACUACCUCAGAUUUAGAGAGUUUUCAGAACCAUAUUCUGAUGUAUGCAGGGAAGCGCUUUGCCUACAAGUACAAAGUGUACAGAACCAGGGUUUUUCUUGCAGCAAUUGAUUACAACUACCACAAUGGCCGCGAGCAUAGACGCAACAGAAAAAGAGAAAAAUUUA